This 2447-nucleotide ribosomal RNA is filed under the name Idolothrips spectrum. Its description in RNAcentral is "eukaryotic LSU rRNA". It matches the Rfam family "Eukaryotic large subunit ribosomal RNA", at positions 47 to 1859 of the family's 3401-position model. Lineage: Eukaryota; Metazoa; Arthropoda; Insecta; Thysanoptera; Phlaeothripidae. The record is from RNAcentral.
UAAGGGGAGGAAAAGAAACUAACAAGGAUUCCGUCAGUAGCGGCGAGCGAACACGGAAGAGCCCAGCGCUGAAUCCCCCGGUCCGUGCGGGCCGGCGGGAAAUGUAGCGUUAGGGAGCGUCCGUUACCUCGGUCGCGUGCGGUGAGCCCAAGUCUCCCUUGAACGGUGCCACAAUCCAUAGAGGGUGCCAGGCCCGUCUGGCCGCCGCCGCGUCCGGGUGGACGUCUCCUAGGAGUCGGUCUGCUUGAGAACGCAGACCUAAGUGGGUGGUAAACUCCAUCUAAGGCUAAAUACGACCACGAGACCGAUAGCGCACAAGUACCGUGAGGGAAAGGUGAAAAGAACUUUGAAGAGAGAGUUCAAGAGUACGUGAAACUGGAGAGGUGAAAACGGAAGUGGCUCGAUAUUCCGAACGGUGGUGUUCAGUCUCACCGUCGUCGGCGCCCGCGUCCGGGAGAUCAAGGUAACCCGUCGGUUGGCGUGCGUCGGUCCCUCGUGGGCCGGCCGCGUCGCCCGGGCCCCCUCCCGUUGGCGCCGGGUCCUAAUUGUCCGGCGCGGUGUGGAUGCACUCACUGCCGUAGUAGGAUGUCGCGACUCGUCGGGUGUCGGUCGCGAGGCUGGUGGAGGUUCAGCCCGGUGUCCGUGUGACGCGCACCCCUGGGGCAAAAUGCGCGCAGUGCGGCCCGGACUCUUGCCGGUUCUCUCCGACUGCCCGACGGUAUCAAAAGCAAGUCGACCGCAGCGGCCCGCUCUCACAGCCCGGUCCCCGCCCUCUGUGGCGUACCGGGCAGGCGGGUCCCGCGACCGCGUUGGGCCCUCGCGCCCCGCGGGAGCCGGUCGAUUGUCUGCGGCAUUGCCUGAUUCGGGUCCACUUCCGACCCGUCUUGAAACACGGACCAAGGAGCGUAACACGUGCGCGAGUCGAAGGGUGCUACUAAACCUGAAGGCGAAGCGAAAGCGUAAGGGGCGAUGGCAUACUGGUCCGGCAAUUCGGUCGCCCCUCGGGGCCUCCGGUACCGGCCGGCCCGCAGCCCCGGGGCACCUCAAUUGGCUCUCCCGCGUCGCGGGUCCUCGGAAGCGGGCGUCUCUGGCGCAGCGCACGGGGGCCGGUGCGGUUGAGUCGAGGCGCACCUGAGAGCGUACGUGUUGUUACCCGAAAGAUGGUGAACUAUGCCUGGCCAGGACGAAGCCAGGGGAAACCCUGGUGGAAGUCCGUAGCGAUUCUGACGUGCAAAUCGAUCGUCGGAGCUGGGUAUAGGGGCGAAAGACUAAUCGAACCAUCUAGUAGCUGGUUCCCUCCGAAGUUUCCCUCAGGAUAGCUGGCGCUCGGAGGACCCGAGAAGGGACGAAUGAGUCUCAUCCGGUAAAGCGAAUGAUUAGAGGCCUUGGGGACGAAACGACCUCAACCUAUUCUCAAACUUUAAAUGGGUGAGAACCCCGGCUUGCUUGAGCAGGAGGGUCUCCGGUGUUCGGUACCGCUCCCAAAAGGACGGCCGCCCGGUCCCACCGAACCAAUCGUCAUGAAGCCGGGGAGUCUAACGGAUCAUGAGUGCCAAGUGGGCCAAUUUUGGUAAGCAGAACUGGCGCUGUGGGAUGAACCAAACGCAGAGUUAAAGCGCCUAAAUCGACGCUCAUGGGAGACCAUGAAAGGUGUUGGUUGCUUAAGACAGCAGGACGGUGGCCAUGGAAGUCGGAAUCCGCUAAGGAGUGUGUAACAACUCACCUGCCGAAGCAACUAGCCCUUAAAAUGGAUGGCGCUAAAGCGUCGUGCUUAUACUCUGCCGCCGGUGGCAAAAGUGGCCGGACAGGCGGACGGUCCCUCCUGAGGGGGUGGAAUACCGGCCCCGAGCCUUGAAGCCCUGGUGAGUAGGAGGGUCGCUCGGGUGGCGCAGAAGGGUCUGGGCGUGAGCCUGCCUGGAGCCGCCCGAGGUGCAGAUCUUGGUGGUAGUAGCAAAUACUCCAGAGAGGGCCCUGGAGGGCUGAUGCGGAGAAGGGUUCCGUGUGAACAGCUGUUGCACACGGGUCAGUCGAUCCUAAGCCCUAGGAGAACUCCUAUGUGCGAUGUGCGGGUUGUCUUUCUCGACACCCCCGCCGCCGGGCGAAAGGGAAUCAGGUUCCUAUUCCUGAACCCAGAUGCGGUACCGUUCUACCGGGCUUGUCUCGAAGCCGUACCCGCCCCGCGUUUCGGCGCGGUGGAGACGGGGCGUGCCUAGGGCGAACUCGUCGGGGUAACCCGAACAGCCGCGGAGAAGCCGGCAGGAGCCCCCGGGAGAGUUGUCUUUUCUGUAUUACCGCGCAAGUUCCCUGGAAUUCCAUUGCGGAGAGAGAGGGAAUAGCGCGGGAAGAGCACCGCACUUGUCGGCGGUGUCGGGGGUGUCCUCUCGGACCAUGAAAAUCCGCGUGAGGGCUACGGAGAACAACCGAUCUGGCUCGUACCCAAUCCGCAG